Molecule: long non-coding RNA, 9325 nt
Organism: Numida meleagris (helmeted guineafowl)
Lineage: Eukaryota; Metazoa; Chordata; Aves; Galliformes; Numididae
Exons: 5
Source: RefSeq, a predicted model, not a curated record
AACAGGGGGAUCUUGCUGGAGAUCCCUGCGUACCCGAGGCCUUCCAAGGGGAAGGAGGUGGAAGUGCUCCUGGCUGCAGGGAAGCAUGCCAAAGUUGAUGGCGUGGUCAGGUGCAGCAGUGACAGAGCUUAGCAGGAGGAAGUGCUGCUUUCCGAUGGGCAUUGGAGCACAUGGAUCCUAAGCACAUGCGACAUGUUCACCACAGCUGGGAGCACUGCAAUGAGUACCGAAGGAAUUAUGCCCUAAGUGGAGUCUGAAACAUAAAUACCAGAGUGCUGUUCUUCAAAGAGAUUUCAGAGUGCUCGUCUGAGAAGCUUGCUGUUGCUGUGUUUCUCCCUGUACUGGAACCACUGGGGUUCUGUACUUCAGUUUUGGAAGGCCUGGAAGGGGUGCGUUUAGUCCAAGAGUAUGAGCGUGGUUUUUAUCAUUGUGAUUGCACUGUGCUGUUAGUGGUUUACUUAAAACAAAGACAGACACUCGCUGUGGUGCUGGCUGGCCAGCUGGAGCUAUCUGGAGUAUUUCAAGUAUUUCUAGGUUUUCACUGACGAGGAUAAGAACAUCUGUAGCUGUCUGUCCUUAAUGCUGCCUGCUUCUGGCUCAGCUCUUCCUCUUGGAAUUCCCAGGGUAUUUGGGAAUGCUGGCGUUGAGGGCAUGCAGUAAUGGCUCAUUGGCUACUUCCGACCCUGCGUCCUUGUAACAUGAGGUACUGCAGUGAAUGUGAUCAUUAAUAGAAGUAAAGUUAAACAUCAACGCAAAGAAAAGAGAAUCAGGGUCCAGGAAGACUACAUGUCUGUUUCAUUACAGGAUAUGCAUGUCUUCGUUCUACAGCAAUUUCUCAUCCAUUUAUUCGGUGCUCCAAUAUAUUCAGAGGACCACUAGUUCUUCUAAGAAGUUGAUUUUAUUCCACUAAAAAAGCUGCAGUUAAGGCUGCCCUACGCUUUGCUGAAGAUUGCAGUUGAUUCACACCGUGCUGCUGCUCUGGAUGGCUUAAGUUCGCUGUGGAAAGAACCGCGGAACUCCGCUCCGUGUCCCAGUCCUACGUGUGAGUGGUAGUUUUGUUGUAUCCCCAUUGGAUACGCUUAAAUCUGCUUAAACACGGCAUAUAUCAGUUGAGCUGAAAAAUGAAUUCUGAAUCAGUAAGCUCCUUUACGAGCAUUUACAAGGGAAUUGGGACAGGCUGAGCUGAAUGGAUCAUAAAGGACUGCUGCGAGGGAGGUGUGGGUUGUGCUGUGGCUCAGGCUGUAAUAUAAGACCACAUUCCUUUCCUGUGAGCUUUACUGUAUGACUGCUGCCAAGUCACAAGAGUCCAUAAAGGCACUCACAACCUGAUAGACACUUAAAUCCGUGGAGAGUAUCUGGAGGGGGAACACGCUGCCUGAUGGAAAGGAGCGUUCUCUCCAUUCAGCGUGAGAGUCCCAUCGCCUGCAAGCGUUUGUAUUUGGUAUUUAACAUCCCUGAGCUAGGUCUUGAAAAUAACUGCUCUUUCCAAAAAGCCCAUAUAACCCAUAAUGAGGUGAUGAAGAUAAUUUAUUUUGGAUGUUUUCCUAUUUAAAAAAUUCAACACAAUUAUUAUUACAGAGCAAGCAGAUAUCAAGCUUGGUAAUCUGGCUUGUAACACUUGUUUUUCUGUCUUCUUUUGGAGAAGGAGUGUUCUCUGUAUUUCAUUCUAGCUUCUGGCUUUCAUCACCAAAAGCACCGGAGCAGCCUGCACCGAAGCAGUGCCUGGGAGCACCACCACCUCUUGCAGCUGGGCUCCUUCUGUGGCAGCCUGCAGGGCCAGCGCGGGCGGCCCCGCUCAGCAUUCCCUUUUCUUGUUUGUCCCGGCUGUUGAGGGAGAAGGAACACACAGAAGUAAGAACAGGAAGCAGUUUCUGGAAUCACAGACAAAUUGCUGCUUGCAGUUCCCUUUGUACGUUUUCCAUGUAAUGACAGAAACUUCAGUUUUUCUUCUCUUGCUUUCAGACUGCAGUUUCAGCAACUUCGUCUUUCCUCUCCUGGGAAGAUUUGAAUGAAGAUGUAAAUGAUACAUAAACUCAUUGACACCGCACACGAGUCCAGAAGUGUAUAUUUAAUAGCACUCCCUAAAGCCAGCUGAGAAGCAGCUGUGCUCCUACACGUUCUGCACAGCUCAUCUUUGUCUCCAUGGCCAUCCAGCGAGUGUUGUGCUCACUUCCAGUUUAAGGUGCUUGUAAGGCCUUUGCAGAGGCAGGGGAGCACUCUGGGCAGGGCUGUUCCCAGCUUGGUGCAGCGCACGAGCUGGGAGCCACCUGUCUGCUCAGUGUUAGGUGCUCGGCGGCAUGCGAUCCUCGGCCUGCUGCAGGGACGGCCCCGCAACUCCGCAGCGCGUUUUUCCUGAGUAACUUGAAAAGUAUUUAAACUCAUUAGUAAUGUGCAUAAAACAGCUUGUUCUCCGCAGCAGCUCUGCUGGGCAAAGUUUCUGCUUUGGGUCCGGAAUCGCUUCUCUGGAAGGAUGUCUUUUUCAAGGUCGCAGUCACUUUUAGUUUGAUUUCAGUAUAAAAUUAGUCUAAUUUUGAAGCCAACUGAAAAGCAGUAGUAGUAUUUUGUCUAAGGGGACUUGUGUCAUAGAUAAAAAUUAUCUCAGAAGGCCAAAUGUACUGCUUAGGCUGAGUGCCUUAGCUGUUCUCCUUCAGACGGAGGCCUUUGGCAAAACGUCACUUUGUCUGUCCAUAUCUUUUCCCCCUCCUUUGAAAUCCAGACUUUUUUCUCUUUUGGGAUUCACUUCCUGGCUCAGGAAGUGUCUCUCUAUCCUUCUCUUUUUUCUCGUUAGUCAGUUAAAAGUGUUGUAUGAAUUCUCACACGUCUCACUCUGCUUCUUAACACACUGUUUAAGCUGAAGGUCUUAAUUUACUUUUGCAGUACUGCCUUCUACGUACCCCCUUCUCCUUUUUUUCUUCCUCACACCUGCACCUGUCAGUUCUUGAAUUCCAGUUGCCAGAACCUUCAUUUGCAGACCGUGCAGUAAAUGUGCUUUGUAAACUGCGCUUGUGCAGUUCUUUGCAGUGCUGAGCCCUGUGCAAGCACGCGAUUGUCUCACCGUGCUGGGGUUCAGGCAUGCUCCUCUGCUGCAGGAUGAAGCACUUUGGUGUGUUGCUGUAGGAGACCCGGUGCUGGCUCGGUGUUUGAAAGGAAACCCAGAUCCUGUGCUAUGGUGUUUCCUAAUUUCAUGCCCUCAGAAUGGAGCUGUGCAUGGACAGCUGGAGAUCUGCUUUGUAGAGGAGAUAAAUUAAGCAAGAGUGAGAAAUUAAGAAAGAGAGCUCUGGCAUUGCCAGUUCUGUUUCCUAUCGCAUCAGUGAUGCAGGAGAUGUAGCAGAAGUGGGGCUGGAUUAUGUGCUUCCCUGACCAAUCCUUAAUGUAAUGACUUCUGGGCCACUUCCAAAAUUACCUAAAUCAGAUAGGAUAUAAAAAAUCAAACAUUCGAGAAGAAAAAUGCAGUAAUAUGACAAUACCAAGGAAUCACAAAUUUUUGUUUGGUAUCCAUUUUCUGACGCAGACUUCCUCUUCGUUUUGUAGAAGUCACUCUAAAUACUUGAAUUUUCUUUCUCUCUGAUGAGAAACGAUGCCGAGUGGUGGUAGGAAUAACCAGCAGAUGGAGGCAGAGUUGGACUAUGAAAGAUGUAGAUGUAGUUCGCUGCCGUGUCAGGAGGCUUCCUCACUGGCCAUGGGCAUGUUGUUAAUGUGUUUGGGAUCUGGCGAUGAAGUGGGAAGAGCUGCAGAGGGCAGUGACAGAGCUGGAGCUCACCAGGUGGUAAGAUGAGGACUUCCAAGAGAUGCUUGAGUUGUGUCUGUGAUCCUUGUGCUUUUAGCGUAGAAUUUCUGCAUCUAAGUGCUGAGAUGUGCUUUGGGGUUUUCGUAGAAUGGCCUGGGUUGAAGAGGACCUCGAAGAUCAUUGAGUUUCAAUCCCCCUGCUGAGUGCGGGGUCUCCAACCUCCAGGCCAGGCUGCCCAGAGCCACGUCCAGCCUGGCCUUGAACACUUCCAGGGACAUUCAAGGGAUCCAAGGGAUCCACAACCUCCUUGGGCAACCUGUUCCAGUGCGUCACCACCCUCUGCAUGAAAAACUUCCUUCUAAUAUCUAACCUAAACCUUCCCUGUCUCAGUUUAAAACCGUUCCCCCUUGUCACUAUCCACCCAUGUAAACAGUUGUUCCCCCUCCUCUUUAUAUGCUCCCUUCAAGUAUUGGAAGGCCACAAGGAGGUCUCCCCGGAGCCUUCUCUUCUCCAAGCUAUACAAGCCCAGUUUUGUGUACUUGUUUUACAUAUGCAUCUGUAUAUACACAUAAAAAUGUGUAUAGUUUAUCAAAAUUAUUUUGUUAGAGCUAUAUGGAUUCUUAUGUAUUACAUAUUUAAUUUUAUUUGCUGUUAAUAGGAACUUAUCUUAGUUAAUAUAAGGAUGUUCUAGGGAAGCAAAUGAGAAUAAUUUCAAAAGGGUUUACCAAAGAAGAAAGAAAAUCAGUUCUGAAAAUGAUGGUGUAGUGGAUGAGAGAAUGGAUGGAUUUAACAAAAGCUUGAUCUGGGAUGUGGCCUUUCUUGUUUAAGUAUCUUUCAAGAAGCAGAGGUGUAAAGGGACUUUGAAGUUCUGUACAGUAGGUUAGGAAAUAAGCUACAGCCAAGGUGAAGGAGGAAAAAAGGGCUUAGAUAGUAUGAUAGAAAUUAUUUCUUAGUGAGAAGAUCGCUCAAAUGAUUGCUAGGAAGUAAGAACAGAAAUCUGACUGAAAAGGAAGUAGCUGUAGAAAAUUAUGCCUGAGCUUAAUGAAACUGUACUGCUGAAUUUCAGCACGUAUCAACAAACUGAAUCCUGAUGGUUAGGAUGUAUUUGAGUUAACUGGCAGGUUCAGAGUUGAAUUGGGAAUGCUCCUAUCAGCUAGAAAAUGAAAAUGCCACUUUUUCAGCAUGUUCAGGUAAGGAAUGAUCUUAUGAAUGCUGAUAUUGACCAAAAAGCAAUAAACUCCUUACACGUUACUUGGAGAGCUCCUUGUGCAUAGUACAACGCCAUGGAGAAGAACUGGUGAAAUGAGAGAGCGGCUUCUCGUGUAGCACCUCUGGGCAUUCCAUUGAACUCACGCUUAGUCAGGUCCCAAAAUCGCGGCCUUCUUGAAGUCAGUAAUAAAACUCCUGCAGCCUUUCAUGGAGCCGGGACCUCACCCGUUAUACGUGUGUUGAUGCAUAGUUUCCACUGAAGAAACUUCAGCCAAGAAGCUCAGUGAAGCGUGGAGUCUGAAUGUGGAGUACAAAUGGCAAACCUGAAUUUAAGGAGGAAAGGCGUACUUCAGUGUCAGCUCGUUAGAGAAAAACAGAUAGGAGCUUCCAUGCCUCACUCUCCGCAUCUCCUCAUUUUCUGAUUCUGUUGCUUUGGCAUUUGUAAAUUUCCAGCAUUUUUCAUGCAGUGAAGUGUGGUGUAUCUGGGUUAAUAGCUGUCUGUGUGCCUGAAUCAGGUUCAGCAUUUCUGACAGUCAGCCCAAUUUAGGUAAGCCAGUAAGUAGGGCGUAGGUAUUAAACCUGAGAGAUGCAGGGCUCAAAACUUCAGCCUCCAUGUAGGGCAGGUGUCCCUCUGCAGGACGGCAGCACGGAGCUGGGGUGGCCCUGGGCAGUCGUGCUGCAUGGGCUGCAGUGGGAGCGGGGCCGCCUGGCAGGCACGGCAGGAGGGAGGGGUCUGCUCCUGGGGUCACCCAUGCUGAACCGAGCCCCUGAGUUACUGCUGGUCAUUAAGGAAGAUGGUCAGAAAUGUAGCGGUUCUCUAGAUAGUUUUUCAUUAUUAUUAUUAUUUUUUACAGGAACAGAAUGUUCAUUGUUCCUUUUUUUCUUCCUUUUUUUUUUAACAAGGAAAAAGCGUUAGCUCUUUGGAAACAUGCCCACGGUAAUGACUGUCUCUUCCCUGUCACUUAUCCAGGUGUUCUCUGGGCAAUGUGCAGGCAAAGGAGAAAAAGAAGAAAAUAGCAUCGUUCAGCUUCAGAGAUGUGGUUGUGCAGGCUCCUAAGCUCUCUUUAGUUUCUAAUAGCAACCACAAAAUGUCUUCAGCUGUGGCAAGCGUUGCUUCAGUCCUAUUGUUUGGCAGUAUUUGAAGCACCUUAUCUUCCUGCUAGACUCUUUAAAUAGCAACAUCUUAUGAACUGCUUGUCAUCAGUUAAGAGUUUGUGUCUGCAUUUUUCAGAGACUGUUCUCCUAUGGAAGGGGCAUUGUUAGCAGUAAUGAGAUGAAAUUCACUUUCAGACAUGUAAAUGGAAUCUUAAAACUGGAAAAAUACUGUAUAGAAAUAAGUUGAGUGGACUCAAUUUUUGGUUUCACAGUUCUCUCUUCAAAUUCUGAUUCAUUGCACAUUAUCUGAACAAAGCUUAGAAGCAGCUGUGAAUUUUGGGAAGUUUGAUAACCUCCUGUAGAAAUAACCUCCCUGAGCAGCACACAGGCCUCGUCACUCAGGGCCUCAUUAUCUCCAUUGUAGUCUAUGCAAGCUUUCCUGGUGAAAGUAUUGUAGAUACAAAACUUGCUGGAAAGUAAAAAGUAACAAGAAAGAAGGCCAGAUAAUUAUAUCAAGGUAAGGCAUGGUUCUCGCAUCUAAAUUUAACUGCCCCCCCCCCAACUCGAUCAGGAUACUGGAAUCUCAGGUACUUCCUGCUGGAAGAUUCCCAGGCACUGCAGUGAAUGGUGGGCACCAGGCAGCUGCUGGAGAUGGUCUCUGGAUCCACUUCUGAUGCAGUGAACAAAUGCUGUCCGCAAAGAUUGCAGUUAAUUCACUGAGUUAAUUUUCAUCUGAAGUGUUAGUGAACUUGGCUUAUUUUAUGCUCGUGUAGACGAGCAAUAUGCGUAACUAUUGCAGGAGUCAAAGAGCUAGCACUGCCUCAGUUGUCACUCAAAUUUCAGCAGUACUCAUUCUUCCUUGCCCUUCUCCUGCUGCCCUGUUCCAAGCUGUGUGCCGCUUAUCAGUGAAAGUAGGAUCUUGCUUUAGCUGUGAUACUGCGUACGAUGAAAGCGUCAGUUAGCGCUGUGUCCCAUUCACUUGAGCUGACGCUGUGUGUGAAGGACCCCAAAGGCACAUUGAUGGCGCUGAAGGAACUCAGUCUGUUGCUUUUAGACAGCGUGCACAACUGAUGGUUACUGGGGGCUGCUUGGAGGCAGGGGAUAUGCAGGGAAGAAAUUUGCAGUGUGACUUAUUUUUUCAUAUGCAGUGGCUAAAAAAAACCCAGUCAGAAUGCCAUCAGUAACAGGUUCUUUAUUCCUACCGUGCAAUCUGUUUUUUCUCCGAAAGCUUUUUAAUGAAUGCUGCAAAGUACUAACCUUUGCUGAUUAUUGUAACAGCAAAAACAACUAAGAGGAAAGCGAGAAGAACCAAGGAGCAUUCCUUUUGCUGAUUGAUUUAUGGUUACAAUUUAGUUGAACAUUGUUCAGAAUGAAAUCUCUGUCUGUAGCUGUACUGAAAAGAGAGGGCAGGGAGGGGCAGGAGAGGAAGGCUGUGUCCCUUCCUGGGGGCUGCAAGUGCAGAAGCCUGUGCUGCUGGAGUGGCCUCUCCUGCGCAGUCGUCCUGCUUGUGAGCAAGAGGCACUGCUCCCUCGGUUGGGUUCACGUCCCUGCUAGAGCAGGGAGAACAACAGAAGUAUCUCACCAGUGGCCGGGCUGCAUCCAGUCCUUUGUGUUCGUGGUGUCCUCUGUCCCUGCUGUUGUUGUGAGGCAGUGAGAGCCCUAUUCAUUCACGUAUGCUAAUUAUGAUAGAGACUUGCACUAAUCUUCUGAGAACAGUUGGCUCUUUUUCAACUAACUGUAAACAGGCUGCCCGAAGUCAUGAGAAGAGUCUAAAAAGAAUGUUAUUGAUACCGAUAUUUCCUAGCUGCCAGUUAACGUGGCAGCGUGCAGCUGAGUGCAGAGGACAGAGCAGCCCUGGAGCCGGGCGAGGUGGGGCUGUGUGUCCCUGAGCUGUGGGGCACGGCUGCGCUGGGGCCUGCAUCUGCGGGACAGUACCCCCAGCAGCCUAACAUCUCCUCAUACCCCAGAAACAGCUGGGAGAGAGAACUGAUAAAGGUGCCGUGUAACAUGAAGAACGUGCUGAAUGAGAAGCUAACCAUCCACACGUGGUAUUGGAAGAACAUGGGGAGUAAGAACAACAUGGCAGCAGCUUUGUGCACUGCUUUGUGGUUUGGUAGCACAGAACCGGUCCUGUAAAGGCUCCAACCGCUGUCAGACUUUUGGAUGUAGAUUUUAACUUCAAGCUUACAGGUACGUGUGCAGUACUGAGCACAGGGAAGGGCCAGGGCCCCUCUGCUCUGAGCACGUGCACGAGGCGUCCCAGCUCACUCCGUGGUGCGCUGAGAUCUGUGGAGGAGGUGGUGAUGCUCAAAAGCGCACUCCUGGUUUGAAUGUGAGGAGGGAUGAAUAAGCUUUCAUUUUCCUUGGUAGAUUCUCGGGGAAUAGCCACAGUCACCAACUGAGUGUAUCUGUGUGUGUCCUGUCCUCACCUUCCAGGCAGCGGCUAUGACAAGCAGUCUUCUGGUGGUUAUUGGCACAUUUGGUGGCACCCACAUCCAGAAAUGCUUUCUGGUUUGGUGCACAUUCAUCACACCAGCUGUUUUCCAUACUGGCUAGGAGGUGGGGGAUUGACCUAGCUUUCACUGGAUGAUCACAGCCAUUAACGGGGCUGACUUGGUGGCCCCACGGACACGGUUGGGUGCUGCUCUCGCAGGUUUCGUCCCUCCGCGUGCAGUCUGUGCGGAGCCCUGCAGGUGAGCACGUUCAGCUUCGUUCACUCGAGUUUUCUGAGAAAAACACUAUACUGAUCUUACACUGAGACCUUACGUGGAAGGAGGUGUUAAUAACUACAUUUCAGUUUCCUUCUUUUAAAUUAUAUAGUCAAUUUUACUUUAUUACAGCUUCCAUUUUAUUGCGAGAGCCUAUUUCUUUAACACUGUGUAUGAAGUCAGGCACUGAGGUGGCCCUUCAGGAGCAAAAAUUGCCCUUGGGCUUGCAUCAUGUUUAAUAAGUACGUGUAACAGAGUAAUCUUGUAAAAGCCGAUUACCUCAAUUAUUAACAAUUAGGAUUUAUGAGUUAAGUGCUGCAACUGUGUCCUAUUUCUUGGCAAUUCCAUAUGGAAAGCUUAGAGAUAAUUUUAGAAAUAAUUCUGUGUGAAUUUUCUUUAAUUACUGCGUAAGGCUGGGAAACUCUACGUGACAAACGAGCAUUUUUGAAUAGGUAUUGUGCGCUCCGGUUGCACGAAGGCAGUGCGCCAAGGUGAAGUUUUGUCUCAGCGGUGAGACACGGUUUCAGCGUGCUUUGCUUCAUUUUGCUCUCACAAAGGUUCUGGUCUAACAUACAGAGAAGCAGCC